This 1921-nucleotide long non-coding RNA is filed under the name Taeniopygia guttata (zebra finch). RNAcentral describes it as "lncRNA (ENSTGUG00000021346.1)". The record is from RNAcentral. Lineage: Eukaryota; Metazoa; Chordata; Aves; Passeriformes; Estrildidae.
UCCAGCCAUCGCUCAACCAGUUAUAACCAGCUGUCAGGGUUGGGAAGGAAACCAGGAUAAACCAGUGUGGUGUCGCCUUCCCAGAUCUGCUGGCAGGGUGGCACAGCAGGCUGGGAGGUAGGAGCUGCUCAGACCCCACCUCGCUGCAGUGUUAGUGGGUGAAUUUUAAUAUUCAUCAUUCCAAGGCUGCUCAUUUUACUGACAGAAAGAAGGGAUCAGCUGGGAAGUGGCGGCCGCUGCAGGGAAGGCAAUGCAGAAGGAUAAAGCCAAGAACAUAAUAGAAAACAUUUAGAGAUCCACAAGUCAAAAAUCACUAUAAUCACUUUGUCUGCCCCCUUUCUCAGCCUUUUGUUGUGCUCAGCUUUUUCCACUUUCCGGAAUCCUCCUGAAGCAGCCAAAGCAGCCACAGCCACAAGAGGCCAGCCAGGACUCAAUCCUGCUCAGGCACCACUGCUUCUACCCCUCUGUGUUCUGUUUUUCUCUGAACAGAAAAUAUCCCUGAUCGUCUGCCUGGGCUGAGGAAUCUGCAGAGAGCACCUUCCAGGAAUGCUCUCACAUAUCUUGUAAAGAUUAGGCACAAAAAGUUUCAUUACAGGAUAAAAAUCUCCCAGCCACAACAAUGUGGCACAACUGCAAUGAGGAGCUGGGAAGGAAAGAGAAUGGAGAGAGCCCACUCUGGUAUGGGACAAGGGGGAUUGAUUUAAAAGUAUAUUAUAGAAAGUUUUCAUUGCAUAGUAAAUACUUGCAAUGCCUAUGAAACACCUUAGAAAAAUAGAAAUGUCUAAGUAAUGAAAAGAUUAUAAAAUUAUGAUACCUGUGCUGUUGAGUAUCCAUUUUUUUAUGCAUGAGGUAGCUCAUGAGGCAGCCAGGCAGCACGCGUGACCUGUAAUCAGCAGGAGAUGCUUUUGGCAGGGAUGGAUUAGUCAUUCACCCCUGUGCUCUGGUGACAUCUCCUCUGAGAAAGGUUUGCUAGGGUAGCCUCACCAGCUCCAGUGCUAAGAGAACAUAUGCAAUUUUGAUGCAGAACUUCAUAUUUGACCAAAUUUAUUUUUUUUUAAAUUUCAGCAUUUGGGUAGAUUCUUACUUACAUGACUUUGCCUAUUAAUUUCUCAGUCUCCUUGCCAGUCUCCCUGUUUUCAGACUUCAACUUUUACAACCCAUAAGAGCAACCAAAAAAAAAGAUCAAUUUAAUCAAAAUAUAACAGGCUUUUUAAAAUUUUCAAUUUACACUGCAGACCCAAAAAUACUAAGUUUUUUGAAAAAUUAAGCAUUUUAAAUUCAGUUUUGAUUUUAAGUCAAAUAGAUUGAUUUAAUUGCUACGGGAAAAGUAAUCUCUAAAUAUUUAUAUCAUAUGAAAUAAUUAUGCAACCACUGUCCUUGGACGGAUAAUAUUCUGCUAAGAUCUGCAUUCAAUUAUUUAGCUGGUGCUACAGAAAGUGAUUAUUCCUUUUACUUGAGCAGUUGCUUAAAAAAACUUGAAGUUGUUCUGAGAAUUAAUUUUCAACUAGAGAACUGUUUUGAGACGUGUGUCCUCAUGGAGGCUGGGAAUUGUAACCCUCUGAUCCACGCCAGUGGUUCUUCCUCCAGCACUCGCAGUUGGUUUUAUUUAACAUUUCAUUUUUUAGGAGUACUUCUACUGCCAUGAGCAGGGUCUGUUUAUAAGGACAGUGCAGUCCAAUGUGGAUGACACUCCCAGGGAGCAGGAAGGACCAGGUGUCCUGGCAGAGUCUCCAGUGCAUGCUCUGGGCAGGAAGUGCAGAUCCAGGUGUGUGUGGAGAAGGGGAACACAUGGGUGUGCUCCAGCUGGAGCAGCCCAGCUCCCUGCAGGAUAUUCCCCCUGCUCUUUGGGUGAAAGAAAACCAAGUGCUGGGCCCCGCACUGAUGAUGAGAAUUUACUUUCCCCUGUCCCAGACCAGGGUAG